UUAGAAAUGAAAAGGGGCAACAGCAGAGGGAGACUGACGGUAUGGAGUUUGAGGAAAUUAUCCAAAAAGUGUUGUCCCUAAUUAUACUCGGUCCUCGAAGAGUAAAUAGGGUAUUGUAUUUGAAUUUUGAAGAUACAAGAAAACUAAAAACGCCAUUCCGUAAGGAAGGACGUCCCUUCUUGUUUAUUUGUAAUUGUAUCGCUUCUCGGGAGUUUUUCUCCACCAACUCUCUCCAUGCUUCGUAGGGUUAGGAGGAGCUUUUAGUAUCUGAUUUCGGGGUUUAUGCGCUUAAUCCCCUGCUAACUGCUUGAAGAACUAACUUUUCUCAGAAGAAGAGAGACAGAGACAGAGACAGAGAAAGAAAAGUCCUCCUGAAGGAACAGCAGCACACAAAUUCUGCUGUACGCACACAGUUUUCCACACACUUUCCAUGCAAUUGGCCACAGAAUUAUUUUCCCUUCAUUUCCCAACCGACACUUCUGUUCGUUCUCUGCCUCACUGCCACACUCCUCCUCGUCUCGUAGAGCCCACCCUUGUUUGCAUCCGAUUAGCAAUUUCCAUGCACUCCAAAGAACUGUGGAUGAGAUUUCAUUAUGAGAGUUCCUUAUGUUCUUGCUGUUUCUUCUGGUUUCGCUUUCCUACUCCUUCCCUUGACUCCAUUGGGCCCUUAAGCACUUUCCAUGCAUUUAAACAAUUUUCAUUCUGUACUACUUUCCUCCUCCUUCGACAAGGAAUUUGUUGCUGUCAAAAUUUUUGAUGAAAAUUUCAUACAUUUAUUUGUUGAAGGAGCUUGGGAAUAUUUGAAAAUAAAGUUUGUAUCGCACCGAGCGAUUCCC
This 836-nucleotide long non-coding RNA is filed under the name Drosophila guanche. Lineage: Eukaryota; Metazoa; Arthropoda; Insecta; Diptera; Drosophilidae. The record is from RNAcentral.